RNAcentral lists this transfer RNA (85 nucleotides) under Gammaproteobacteria bacterium. RNAcentral's name for it is "tRNA-Leu". It matches the Rfam family "tRNA". Rfam says of the family: Transfer RNA (tRNA) molecules are approximately 80 nucleotides in length. Their secondary structure includes four short double-helical elements and three loops (D, anti-codon, and T loops). The record is from RNAcentral. Lineage: Bacteria; Pseudomonadati; Pseudomonadota; Gammaproteobacteria.
GCCGAUGUGGUGAAAUUGGUAGACACGCCAUCUUGAGGGGGUGGUGGGGAGACCCGUGCCGGUUCGACUCCGGCCAUCGGCACCA